RNAcentral lists this ribosomal RNA (1286 nucleotides) under Ophidiomyces ophidiicola. Its description in RNAcentral is "eukaryotic LSU rRNA". The stretch from base 636 to 1286 matches the Rfam family "Eukaryotic large subunit ribosomal RNA", at positions 1 to 667 of the family's 3401-position model. Lineage: Eukaryota; Fungi; Ascomycota; Eurotiomycetes; Onygenales; Onygenaceae. The record is from RNAcentral.
CUUGGUCAUUUAGAGGAAGUAAAAGUCGUAACAAGGUUUCCGUAGGUGAACCUGCGGAAGGAUCAUUACCGUGUUGGUUGAGCGCCCCUCCCCCCCGGGUCCCCCGGGGGCCGGGCGCCCCUACCUCCACCCGUGUCUACCCCAUUCCGUUGCCUCGGCGGGCCCGCCAGCCACCAGCCUGGCGGUCUCCGGGCGUCCCCUCCUGGGGGCGGCCCCGGGGGCCCGCGCCCGCCGGUGGAACCGCGAACGAACUCUGUGAGAAGCCAGUCUGUCUGAGCACGAAUGUGAAAUCAUGUAAAACUUUCAACAACGGAUCUCUUGGUUCCGGCAUCGAUGAAGAACGCAGCGAAAUGCGAUAAGUAAUGUGAAUUGCAGAAUUCCGUGAAUCAUCGAAUCUUUGAACGCACAUUGCGCCCCCUGGUAUUCCGGGGGGCAUGCCUGUCCGAGCGUCAUUGCAACCCCCUCAAGCCCGGCUUGUGUGUUGGGGGCGCCCACCCCGAAGUCCUCGGGCGCGGGCCCCCCCCCAAAUGCAGUGGCGGCACCGAGUUCCUGGUGUCUGAGUGUAUGGGAAUCUGUUUCUGUCUCGCUCGAAGACCCGAUCGGCGCCCGUCGUCAACCCCCCAUUCUUUCCGGUUUGACCUCGGAUCAGGUAGGAGUACCCGCUGAACUUAAGCAUAUCAAUAAGCGGAGGAAAAGAAACCAACAGGGAUUGCCUCAGUAACGGCGAGUGAAGCGGCAAGAGCUCAAAUUUGAAAUCUGGUCCCCUCGGGGCCCGAGUUGUAAUUUGGAGAGGAUACUUUGGGCGUGGCCGCGGCGUAAGUCCCUUGGAACAGGGCGUCACAGAGGGUGAGAAUCCCGUCUUGCGCUGCGUCCCGCGCCCGUGUAAAGUUCCUUCGACGAGUCGAGUUGUUUGGGAAUGCAGCUCUAAGUGGGUGGUAAAUUUCAUCUAAAGCUAAAUAUUGGCCGGAGACCGAUAGCGCACAAGUAGAGUGAUCGAAAGGUUAAAAGCACCUUGAAAAGGGAGUUAAAUAGCACGUGAAAUUGUUGAAAGGGAAGCGCUUGCAACCAGACUCGGUUCCGGGGGCUCAGCGGGCAUGCGUGCCCGUGUACUCCCCCGUCUCCGGGCCAGCAUCAGUUCGAGCGGCCGGUCAAAGGCCCCGGGAACGUAUCAUCCUCCGGGAUGCCUUAUAGCCCGGGGUGCAAUGCGGCCAGCUCGGACUGAGGAACGCGCCUCGGCACGGAUGCUGGCAUAAUGGUUGUAAGCGGCCCGUCUUGAAACACGGACC